GAUGAAGAACGUAGCGAAAUGCGAUAAGUAAUGCGAAUUGCAGAAUUUCCGUGAGUCAUCGAAUCUUUGAACGCAUAUUGCGCCCUCUGGUAUUCCGGGGGGCAUGCCUGUCCGAGCGUCAUUACUACCUUCAAGCACGGCUUGUGUGUUGAGCAUUUUGUUCGAUUUUCAGUGAACAAGGCUUGAAAUGCAGUGGCGAUGCCUUAAAAUUGGUUGCCUGAACGUAUAGGGCUAUGUCACACGUUCUUGUGGCUCCAGUUGUGCAUCUUGUUCCAACUUCUAAAGAAUCUCGAAUUGACCUCGGAUCAGGUAGGAAUACCCGCUGAACUUAAGCAUAUCAAUAAGCGGAGGA
RNAcentral lists this unclassified non-coding RNA (352 nucleotides) under soil metagenome. RNAcentral's name for it is "partial contains 5.8S ribosomal RNA, internal transcribed spacer 2, and large subunit ribosomal RNA". The stretch from base 1 to 121 matches the Rfam family "5.8S ribosomal RNA", at positions 35 to 154 of the family's 154-position model. The record is from RNAcentral.